Molecule: ribosomal RNA, 123 nt
Filed under: Prolemur simus (greater bamboo lemur)
Lineage: Eukaryota; Metazoa; Chordata; Mammalia; Primates; Lemuridae
Source: RNAcentral
GUCUAUGGCCAUACCACCCUGAACGUGCCCGAUCUCAUCUGAUCUUGGAAGCUAUGCAGGGUCAGGUCUGGUUAGUAUAGUACUUGGACGGGAGACUUGGGUUAAAUAAUUCUAGAAGCUGCU